GAUGAACGCUGGCGGCGUGCCUAAUACAUGCAAGUCGAGCGAACAGACGAGGAGCUUGCUCCUCUGACGUUAGCGGCGGACGGGUGAGUAACACGUGGAUAACCUACCUAUAAGACUGGGAUAACUUCGGGAAACCGGAGCUAAUACCGGAUAAUAUAUUGAACCGCAUGGUUCAAUAGUGAAAGACGGUUUUGCUGUCACUUAUAGAUGGAUCCGCGCCGCAUUAGCUAGUUGGUAAGGUAACGGCUUACCAAGGCGACGAUGCGUAGCCGACCUGAGAGGGGGAUCGGCCACACUGGAACUGAGACACGGCCCAGACUCCUACGGGAGGCAGCAGUAGGGAACCUUCGGCAAUGGGCGAAAGCUGGACGGAGCAACGCCGCGUGAGUGAUGAAGGUCUUCGGAUCGUAAAACUCGGUUAUUAGGGAAGAACAAAUGUGUAAGUAACUAUGCACGUCUUGACGGUACCUAAUCAGAAAGCCACGGCUAACUACGUG
RNAcentral lists this ribosomal RNA (497 nucleotides) under uncultured bacterium. RNAcentral's name for it is "partial 16S ribosomal RNA". It matches the Rfam family "Bacterial small subunit ribosomal RNA", at positions 28 to 507 of the family's 1533-position model. The record is from RNAcentral.